This is a small nuclear RNA of Homo sapiens (human), 103 nucleotides long. Lineage: Eukaryota; Metazoa; Chordata; Mammalia; Primates; Hominidae. The record is from Ensembl.
GUGCUUACUUUGGCAGCACAUAUACUAAAAUUGGCACAAUAGAAGAUUAGCAUGGCCCCUGCGCAAGGAUGAUGAGCAAAUUCAUGAGGCAUUCCAUAUUUUU